RNAcentral lists this ribosomal RNA (311 nucleotides) under Salmonella enterica subsp. enterica serovar Ohio. RNAcentral describes it as "partial 23S ribosomal RNA". It matches the Rfam family "Bacterial large subunit ribosomal RNA", at positions 1 to 308 of the family's 2925-position model. Lineage: Bacteria; Pseudomonadati; Pseudomonadota; Gammaproteobacteria; Enterobacterales; Enterobacteriaceae. The record is from RNAcentral.
GGGUUGUGAGGUUAAGCGACUAAGCGUACACGGUGGAUGCCCUGGCAGUCAGAGGCGAUGAAGGGCGUGCUAAUCUGCGAUAAGCGCCGGUAAGGUGAUAUGAACCGUUAUAACCGGCGAUACCCGAAUGGGGAAACCCAGUGUGACUCGUCACACUAUCAUUAACUGAAUCCAUAGGUUAAUGAGGCGAACCGGGGGAACUGAAACAUCUAAGUACCCCGAGGAAAAGAAAUCAACCGAGAUUCCCCCAGUAGCGGCGAGCGAACGGGGAGGAGCCCAGAGCCUGAAUCAGCAUGUGUGUUAGUGGAAGC